This is a non-coding RNA of Equus caballus (horse), 918 nucleotides long. Lineage: Eukaryota; Metazoa; Chordata; Mammalia; Perissodactyla; Equidae. The record is from RefSeq and is a predicted model, not a curated record.
UCCACCUAAGCAAGCACACAGUGUGGACCGGGUUGUUAGGUAAUGUUGUACAAAGUUGAUAAUCCAGCAUUCUUAGAUUCUAAAUGCAGGUUAAGGGGCCAAUCAAAUUUAGCCAUUUUAGCAAUAUUAUUUGAAGAAAUGCAGAAAGGGAUUUAUAAUUCAAAAGUGGUCUCAGAGACAACUUGGGAUAUGGGAAGGAAGAGAAAAAUAUCUUCUACAAAAGAUCUUGUUUCCAUAUCUAAGUGCUUAUGGAGGGGAAGUUCUAGUGGUGACAGAUACGAUAGACUCCUCUAGCAUUCCUGAAUUUUAACUUCACGCAAAGCCCAAAGGAUCUCUCUUUAAAUAAAAUGAAGAAAGUUCAGGUAUAUAACAUCCAUCACCCUGGCCUUUGAUAGAAAAUUUGUGUUCCUGUCAAUUCAAAAUCAUAAUAAAUCUCAGAAGUCUGGAAAUAACCCCGACCUCAUUAGGGCUCAAACACACAUGGGAGGAGCAAGAUCGGCCCAGAGGAACUGACUUUCUCAUCAUCUCAGAGCCAUACAGAUGAACACUGAAGAGAAGAAACAAGUUGCCGGCAGUGGUUAAUCAGCUGACUAGGCUUUUGUAAGAGGAAACAGCACUGUGAACUUCACAGCCCAGUGAAUGACAGAGUAUGAUGACGGGUCCCCGACACUUCAUCAACCAUGGAGCCUCUCCCAUCCUCUCUCUGUACGCAUGUCACUUCACGUCUCCAUGGCUGCCAGGCUCCUGGACUCCAUUUUUUCAUGUGCCACUCUCACCACCUCCUGGUUUUCCAUCUUUCCCUUUCCUUCUUUCCUCUCCAUCUCUGUCCCUAACCUUUUACCUUCUUAAUGUGGGGUCACGAUGUGGAACUGAAAGGUUUUUAAAAGCAGUGUCACUUGAAAAAUGUUUUUGGAUAAA